UACGUAGGGUGCAAGCGUUGUCCGGAAUCAUUGGGCGUAAAGCGCGCGUAGGUGGCCAUUUAAGUCCGCUGUGAAAGUCAAAGGCUCAACCUUUGAAAGCCGGUGGAUACUGGAUGGCUAGAGUACGGAAGAGGCGAGUGGAAUUCCUGGUGUAGCGGUGGAAUGCGCAGAUAUCAGGAGGAACACCAAUAGCGAAGGCAGCUCGCUGGGAAGUUACUGACACUGGGGCGCGAAAGCGUGGGGAGCGAACAGG
This 253-nucleotide ribosomal RNA is filed under the name uncultured bacterium. RNAcentral's name for it is "partial 16S ribosomal RNA". It matches the Rfam family "Bacterial small subunit ribosomal RNA", at positions 524 to 776 of the family's 1533-position model. The record is from RNAcentral.